GCAGAGAGUUGUCGAAGUACACACGGUGUUGCCAACUCUCGAACAUUGAUCGGUAUGUGUGGUAACACCUUUACAACAAGAGUAGCAAACGACUGUUAACGAAGUCUUCUUUUUCAAUACAUGCAAACGUGUGACAAGACAGAUUAGGUACUAUGUGUUUUAAGGAAUGUAUAGAUAGUUAUUAGAAAACCAGCUGAUGUUCAACAACUUAUGGGCUCAACCUGUGAUUUUUAUACUUUCUUUGAAAUGAAAGGAUUUUAGUACUGAGCCGAUUCGAAAAAAAGCAAACAAACCAAAAACGGAGGGGAUGGAAUGUUCUGUUUCUCAUCAGAAAAAAUGGAUGUCUCAUCAGGUUUGACUUGUGGAAGGUGUGUGAGAGAGAAAAAGAAACAACAAUGGGUAACUUGAUAGGAAGAGGAAAUGUAAGACCAAAAGAGCGACCAAUUCGACCAAACCACACAGUACCGUCAAAUGUAAAAGCAACGCACAAAGACCAUCCAAACCAUGGGUACAAAGAUAAUCAAGUGAAGACCACGAAAUACACAGUUUUAUCAUUUCUACCCAAAAAUCUGUUUGAACAGUUUCAUAGAUUUGCAAAUUUGUAUUUUAUUUUUGUGGUGGCAUUGAACUGGGUUCCCGAAAUAAAUGCCUUUGCCAAAGAAGUUGCUGCAGUUCCUGUUAUAUUCGUGCUUUCUGUGACUGCUGUCAAGGAUGCUUAUGAAGACUUUCGAAGAUACCGGUCUGAUAAAAAAGUUAAUGCCUUGACCUGUAGAGUAUAUUCAAGAUCUGAGGAGCGUUAUGUAAAAGUAGAAUGGAAAAAUGUUUAUCCUGGAGAUUUUGUGCACUUGUCCUGCAAUGAGAUCAUUCCAGCUGAUAUACUUCUACUACGUUCGAGUGAUCCUGGUGGGAUAUGUCAUGUUGAAACUAGCAAUCUUGAUGGAGAGAAUAAUCUCAAGCAACGUCAGGCAGUAACUGGAGUGAUGACAAAUAUGGAAAAUUUUGAUCCAAGGUGGUUCACCUACACAGUUACGGUAGAUGAGCCAAAUACAUCCAUUUACAACUUCAAAGGCUAUGUAGAAAAAGAUGGAGAGAAGAUUCCUCUCAACAGCAGCAAUCUUCUGCUACGUGGAUGCAUGAUCAAAAACACAGAUUUUAUAGAGGGUCUUGUUCUUUAUGCAGGCCAUGAAACAAAGGCCAUGCUUAAUAAUCGUGGGCCAAGGUACAAACGUACUAAGCAAGAACGGAAAAUUAACCGUGAUGUCAUCUGGUGUGUUAUACUCCUUUUGUUUCUCUGCUUCUUUUGUGCAAUUGGUAGUGGAAUAUGGCUGGCAGAUUACAAUGAUCUGACAAAAAACACCAACCUUGUGCCUUUCAUUCCAUUUGGAGAUCUUGACCAGUACAGUCCACUAUACCAAGGUUUCAUUGUAUUUUGGACAUACAUCAUCAUCUUCCAGACUGUGAUUCCAUUGCCGCUGUAUGUCUCUGUGGAACUUGUGAAACUAGGCCAGGUUUAUUUCAUCACCCAAGAUCUGGAACUGUAUGAUGAAGAGUCUGACAAAAGAAUGGAGUGCAGGGCCCUCAACAUUACUGAAGAUCUUGGUCAGAUUGAGUACAUCUUCUCUGACAAAACUGGUACAUUAACAGAAAAUAAAAUGGAAUUCAAGGGUUGCACCAUUGGUGGAGUGGAUUACCCCCAUUUUCCAGAUGAGGAAUUUUCAAGUGAGAGCAACUUUGACAGCCGGAUAUCCGUUACCAACUUUAGUCGGAACAGUUCUGUUAUGGACAACUUACCUCUGGAGCCUGCCCUGCAGCGUGAACUGUCAAACAUGUGUCUUCGCAGUUUAGAGAGCGUCGAGUUGACCAUCCCUCCCCACGUCAAGCGUGUGCAGGAGUUCUUUCUCCUUAUGGCAAUCUGUAACACAGUGGUUGUUUCCCACCACCCCCAUGAAGAUAUGUUGGAUGAAAGUGGAUUUCUUGCUGAGCCAGCCUUCAACAAGUUAGGUGAUCGACCAAGUGAAGCAACAGACAAGUAUAAUCGUAUUCAACAAACCAGCACCCCUGUGUUCGUACGAGCAUCUAAAAGUCGCUCUUUUGGUUCCCUGUCAGCUAGCGAUCUGGGGGAUUACCCAGGCACACCAUCAGAAGGUAGUGUCACUGGGUCUUCAUUUUUGUCUGACAGUUCUUCACAGACGAGAUAUGAAGCUGAAAGUCCAGAUGAACUUGCACUGGUGAGAGCAGCCAGUACCUAUGGAUGCCGUUUAUUGAAGCGUUCACCUGAUAAAGUGGUGGUAUGGCUUCCAGCGGAAGGAGAUGUAGAAUUUUUUGUACUGAACGUACUUGAUUUUGAUUCUACAAGAAAGAGAAUGUCUAUCAUAGUGCAGCAUCCCCUCUCCAAAGAAAUCAUUUUGUUUGUCAAGGGAGCUGACUCUGCUAUUCUCAGUGUUCUUCAUAAGAGAUACAAAGAGGAUCAUGAAGAAAAAAGAGUCCUGGAGGAGACGAACAAGCAUCUGUUAAGCUAUGCAUUGAGAGGUCUCCGCACAUUGUGCAUGGCCCGAAAGGUGUUGACAGGUGAGGAGUAUUCAGCAUGGUUGGUGAAACAUAAGGAGGCAGAAGCAGCUAUGGAUGACAGAGAAAUCAAACUUCGUGACUCUGCUUGCCGCAUUGAGGCUGACCUUGAUCUUCUAGGGGCAACAGGUAUUGAAGACAGAUUGCAAGAUGGUGUUCCCCAGACCAUUGCAAAACUGCGAGCGGCAGGAAUCAACAUAUGGGUUCUUACUGGUGACAAACAGGAAACAGCAAUGCAAAUUGCUUAUGCUUGCAAGCUCUUCAGCAAAGACCAAGAGGUUUUCACCAUAAAUGCUACAAGCAAGGAAUUAACACGCGAUCUUCUGGAGCACCAUCUCUGCCAGAUUGAUCGGGAUCAGUCAGUGCGUCGGACACCAGAACAGGCAAAUGCAGAUGCUGCUCCACAUGAUGUAGAACAUCAGAGGAGUUCUUUCAUUAGCAAGGAGCGAAGUUAUGCUUUGGUGAUUGAUGGCCACACAUUGAGCUUUGCUCUGCUGCCAGAACUAGAGGAGCUUUUUUUGAAGCUUUCACAGAAGUGUCACUCUGUUGUUUGCUGUCGAGCAACACCAAUACAAAAAGGCAAUGUAGUGAAGCUAGUCAGAGAUAACCUCAACAAGAUGACCCUUGCCAUAGGUGAUGGUGCCAAUGAUGUUAGCAUGAUUCAAACAGCAGAUGUUGGUGUGGGCAUAUCAGGGCAGGAAGGAAUGCAAGCGGUCAUGGCGUCAGACUUUGCCAUUGCACGCUUCCGUUUCCUUGAGCGCCUACUUCUUGUACACGGACACUGGUGUUAUGAUCGCCUUGCACGCUUUGCUGCUGUCAUGUUCUAUAAGAGCAUGCUAUCAGUGUUUGUGUUGUUUUGGUUCCAAAUCUUCAGUGGUUUCUCAGGGUCUUUGAUGAUUGACAGUCUCUACCUGACCCUGCAGCAUGUUGUCUUCACAGCUUUGCCCCCACUCAUCAAUGGUAUCUUUGACAAGGAUCUGUCAGCAGAGACACUGCUAGCUUACCCUCAGGUCUACAGACCAUGUCAGGCUGGAGAGAUGUACACCCAUUGGACAUUCCUAGUAAUACUAAUGGACUCCUUGUGGCAAAGCCUGAUGAUAUACUUUAUACCACAUUUGGCUUACAGCAACAAUUCUGUUGGCAUAUGGGAGUUUGGCACCACCAUAGAUGUGUGCCAGAUUCUGUCCAUUCUACUCAUGUUUGGAAUUGAGAAUAACUCUUGGGUAUGGCUGCAGUGGUUUAGUCUUGUAAUCAGCUUUAUCAUCUUCUGGAUGUUUUGCGUUAUUUCUAAUGCCUUCUUCUUCACAUUUGACCAUCCGUCCAAUCCAUACUGGGUAAUGGAAAUGACUAUUUCCAAUCCAAUCCACUCCUGUAUGGUUGUUCUCGCCUGUGUUGCUGCUCUUCUUCCGAGGCUAACAUUUCGAAUGCUUCAGAACUCCUUUUUCCCCACUUCUAUUCAGUGGACCCUCAUUAUGAGUCACGCAGAUUUUGCGAUGAUGUGAAGGGACUGUUCUGCUCAACUGUCAGCAGCACAACAGGCCUGGUGGUACAUAGGAUACUGUCAAGAGCCUACUGCUGUAUAUAUUGUUAUUUGUUCGCACUAUUCAGAUGUCUCUUUUUCCGAAUGAAAUUCACAUAGCUCGAAGACUGGAGAAGGAGGAGAUGGAGAAAGGGGAUCUCCAAGUGUCUGUUCAUUCUCCAGAGCACAAGGA
Molecule: unclassified non-coding RNA, 4277 nt
Filed under: Pomacea canaliculata
Lineage: Eukaryota; Metazoa; Mollusca; Gastropoda; Architaenioglossa; Ampullariidae
Source: RNAcentral